UAGAAGUUACUUCGGUACAUCGGUGACAGGUGGUGCAUGGUUGUCGUCAGCUCGUGUCGUGAGAUGUUGGGUUAAGUCCCGCAACGAGCGCAACCCCUAUUGUUAGUUGCCAUCAUUCAGUUGGGCACUCUAGCGAGACUGCCGGUGACAAGCCGGAGGAAGUGGGGAUGACGUCAAGUCCUCAUGGCCCUUAUAGGUGGGGCUACACACGUCAUACAAUGGCUGGUACAAAGGGUUGCCAACCCGCGAGGGGGAGCCAAUCCCAUAAAGCCAGUCGUAGUCCGGAUCGUAGUCUGCAACUCGACUACGUGAAGUCGGAAUCGCUAGUAAUCGUGGAUCAGAAUGUCACGGUGAAUACGUUCCCGGGUCUU
RNAcentral lists this ribosomal RNA (371 nucleotides) under uncultured Rhodoferax sp. Its description in RNAcentral is "bacterial SSU rRNA". It matches the Rfam family "Bacterial small subunit ribosomal RNA", at positions 1009 to 1382 of the family's 1533-position model. The record is from RNAcentral. Lineage: Bacteria; Pseudomonadati; Pseudomonadota; Betaproteobacteria; Burkholderiales; Comamonadaceae.